CAAGUCGAGCGCGCCCUUCGGGGUGAGCGGCGGACGGGUGAGUAACGCGUGGGAAUAUGCCCUUCUCUAAGGAAUAGCCUCUGGAAACGGAGAGUAAUACCUUAUACGCCCUUCGGGGGAAAGAUUUAUCGGAGAAGGAUUAGCCCGCGUUAGAUUAGGUAGUUGGUGGGGUAAUGGCCUACCAAGCCUACGAUCUAUAGCUGGUUUGAGAGGAUGAACAGCCACACUGGGACUGAGACACGGCCCAGACUCCUACGGGAGGCAGCAGUAGGGAAUCUUAGACAAUGGGGGCAACCCUGAUCUAGCCAUGCCGCGUGUGUGAUGAAGGCCCUAGGGUCGUAAAGCACUUUCGCCAGAGAUGAUAAUGACAGUAUCUGGUAAAGAAACCCCGGCUAACUCCGUGCCAGCAGCCGCGGUAAUACGGAGGGGGUUAGCGUUGUUCGGAAUUACUGGGCGUAAAGCGCACGUAGGCGGAUUAGUAAGUUAGAGGUGAAAUCCCAGGGCUCAACCCUGGAACUGCCUUUAAUACUGCUAGUCUUGAGUUCGAGAGAGGUAAGUGGAAUUCCGAGUGUAGAGGUGAAAUUCGUAGAUAUUCGGAGGAACACCAGUGGCGAAGGCGGCUUACUGGCUCGAUACUGACGCUGAGGUGC
Molecule: ribosomal RNA, 650 nt
Filed under: uncultured bacterium
Lineage: Bacteria
Description: bacterial SSU rRNA
Rfam family: Bacterial small subunit ribosomal RNA
Source: RNAcentral